Molecule: ribosomal RNA, 444 nt
Filed under: Actinomadura sp. XM-17-1
Lineage: Bacteria; Bacillati; Actinomycetota; Actinomycetes; Streptosporangiales; Thermomonosporaceae
Description: bacterial SSU rRNA
Rfam family: Bacterial small subunit ribosomal RNA
Source: RNAcentral
UGCAAGUCGAGCGGAAGGCCCCUUCGGGGGUACUCGAGCGGCGAACGGGUGAGUAACACGUGAGCAACCUGCCCCUGACUCUGGGAUAAGCCUGGGAAACUGGGUCUAAUACCGGAUAUGACGCAUUCUCGCAUGGGAUGUGUGUGGAAAGUUUUUCGGUUGGGGAUGGGCUCGCGGCCUAUCAGCUUGUUGGUGGGGUGAUGGCCUACCAAGGCGACGACGGGUAACCGGCCUGAGAGGGCGACCGGUCACACUGGGACUGAGACACGGCCCAGACUCCUACGGGAGGCAGCAGUGGGGAAUAUUGCGCAAUGGGCGGAAGCCUGACGCAGCGACCCCGCGUGGGGGAUGACGGCCUUCGGGUUGUAAACCUCUUUCAGCAGGGACGAAGCUAACGUGACGGUACCUGCAAAAGAAGCGCCGGCUAACUACGUGCCACAGCCG